GGAUAAACGGCUGGCGGCGUGCCUAAUACCGAUGCAAGUCGAACGAGGAGUCUUUGUAGCGAAUACGGAGACUUCCUAGUGGCGGAAUGGGUGAGUAACGCGUUGAUGACCUGCCCCAAAGAGAGGAACAACUCCGGGAAACUGGAGCUAAUACCUCAUGUGGUUACCAGGGUUAGAGGCCUGGUAACUGAAGGAGUAAUCCGCUUUGGGAGGGACCUGCGUCCCAUCAGCUUGUUGGCAGGGUAACGGCCUACCAAGGCUACGACGGGUAGGGGGCCUGAGAGGGUGGCCCCCCACACUGGAACUGAAACACGGUCCAGACACCUACGGGUGGCAGCAGUAGGGAAUAUUGCACAAUGGGCGAAAGCCUGAAUGCAGCAACGCCGCGUGAACGAUGAAGACCUUCGGGUUGUAAAGUUCUUUUCUGAAGGACGAGGAAGGACGGUAUUUCAGGAAUAAGGAUCGGCUAACUACGUGCCAGCAGCGGC
RNAcentral lists this ribosomal RNA (488 nucleotides) under uncultured bacterium. Its description in RNAcentral is "bacterial SSU rRNA". It matches the Rfam family "Bacterial small subunit ribosomal RNA", at positions 35 to 518 of the family's 1533-position model. The record is from RNAcentral.